GACGAACGCUGGCGGCGUGCCUAAUACUUGCAAGUCGAACGAACUCUGGUAUUGAUUGGUGCUUGCAUCAUGAUUUACAUUUGAGUGAGUGGCGAACUGGUGAGUAACACGUGGGAAACCUGCCCAGAAGCGGGGGAUAACACCUGGAAACAGAUGCUAAUACCGCAUAACAACUUGGACCGCAUGGUCCGAGUUUGAAAGAUGGCUUCGGCUAUCACUUUUGGAUGGUCCCGCGGCGUAUUAGCUAGAUGGUGGGGUAACGGCUCACCAUGGCAAUGAUACGUAGCCGACCUGAGAGGGUAAUCGGCCACAUUGGGACUGAGACACGGCCCAAACUCCUACGGGAGGCAGCAGUAGGGAAUCUUCCACAAUGGACGAAAGUCUGAUGGAGCAACGCCGCGUGAGUGAAGAAGGGUUUCGGCUCGUAAAACUCUGUUGUUAAAGAAGAACAUAUCUGAGAGUAACUGUUCAGGUAUUGACGGUAUUUAACCAGAAAGCCACGGCUAACUACGUGCCAGCAGCCGCGGUAAUACGUAGGUGGCAAGCGUUGUCCGGAUUUAUUGGGCGUAAAGCGAGCGCAGGCGGUUUUUUAAGUCUGAUGUGAAAGCCUUCGGCUCAACCGAAGAAGUGCAUCGGAAACUGGGAAACUUGAGUGCAGAAGAGGACAGUGGAACUCCAUGUGUAGCGGUGAAAUGCGUAGAUAUAUGGAAGAACACCAGUGGCGAAGGCGGCUGUCUGGUCUGUAACUGACGCUGAGGCUCGAAAGUAUGGGUAGCAAACAGGAUUAGAUACCCUGGUAGUCCAUACCGUAAACGAUGAAUGCUAAGUGUUGGAGGGUUUCCGCCCUUCAGUGCUGCAGCUAACGCAUUAAGCAUUCCGCCUGGGGAGUACGGCCGCAAGGCUGAAACUCAAAGGAAUUGACGGGGGCCCGCACAAGCGGUGGAGCAUGUGGUUUAAUUCGAAGCUACGCGAAGAACCUUACCAGGUCUUGACAUACUAUGCAAAUCUAAGAGAUUAGACGUUCCCUUCGGGGACAUGGAUACAGGUGGUGCAUGGUUGUCGUCAGCUCGUGUCGUGAGAUGUUGGGUUAAGUCCCGCAACGAGCGCAACCCUUAUUAUCAGUUGCCAGCAUUAAGUUGGGCACUCUGGUGAGACUGCCGGUGACAAACCGGAGGAAGGUGGGGAUGACGUCAAAUCAUCAUGCCCCUUAUGACCUGGGCUACACACGUGCUACAAUGGAUGGUACAACGAGUUGCGAACUCGCGAGAGUAAGCUAAUCUCUUAAAGCCAUUCUCAGUUCGGAUUGUAGGCUGCAACUCGCCUACAUGAAGUCGGAAUCGCUAGUAAUCGCGGAUCAGCAUGCCGCGGUGAAUACGUUCCCGGGCCUUGUACACACCGCCCGUCACACCAUGAGAGUUUGUAACACCCAAAGUCGGUGGGGUAACCUUUUAGGAACCAGCCGCCUAAGGUGGGACAGAUGAUUAGGGUG
RNAcentral lists this ribosomal RNA (1489 nucleotides) under Lactiplantibacillus pentosus. RNAcentral describes it as "bacterial SSU rRNA". It matches the Rfam family "Bacterial small subunit ribosomal RNA". Lineage: Bacteria; Bacillati; Bacillota; Bacilli; Lactobacillales; Lactobacillaceae. The record is from RNAcentral.